AGGUAUCAUGUUAAGACUGUGAAAGUACUAUUUACUCUACAAUGGUGAGGAGUCCUCAUCAAAAUCAAAAAAUCUAAUUUAUUUUACAGGACCCAGAUGCUAUACAGUGGGAAAACCAGCCUGGCAACAUAGUGCGUAUUAAUAAAAGGACACCACAUCCUGCCAAAUUCCAGCUGCGCUAAUUGUAUUGUGUUCACAGAGCUCACAAGCUAUCAGAAAGUUGUAUGGCAACCACCUCCGGCGCCAAAUAGAACUGGCAGACAUAGACAUUCAGUACAAGAAGAAAAAGAUGGAAAAUCUUGCACUGGAGUCCGAAAUAAAAAAGAGGACAAUUAGGAAACUGGACCUUGAAAUAAAAAAACUUGAGAGGGAGCUCCAAGAAGAUGACACAGCUCAAAAUAAAAAUUAGCAAUCAGUACAACCAAGUCAUCGUUAUAAGGCAUCGCCCUCUUUAGCCCACCCCCCCAGCACCAGGUGUGGCCACUAGCCUAUAUGAAGGCCCAAAAUUGUGUGUUCCUUUCUGCUCUGACAAUGGCAUGCCCAUUCGUGCGAGAUGUGGUGGAUGAAGAAGCACUUGUGCUGAGGAGAGCCUUCAGGCGAGAAAGGGUCUUCAGGGACCGGUUGGACCCACUGGCCUUCCCUGAUGACCAUCUAUAUGAAAGAUACAGGUUUUCUGCAGAUGGCAUCAGGUAUCUAUGCAGACUACUGGGUCCCAGGAUUAAGCACCGCACUGCACGGAGCCAUGCACUGAGUGUGGAGCAAAUGGUUUGUGUGGCCUUGCGCUUUUUUGCUAGUGGAGCCUUCCUGUACUCAGUGGGGGAUGCAGAACAGCUGAACAAGGCCACAAUUUGCCGCACAAUAAGGAGUGUGUGUCUGGCUAUCAAAGCAUUAGCAGAUGUCUUCAUCUCCUUCCCUGGCCACAGAAGACUCUGUGACAUCAAAGAGGAGUUCUAUAGGAUUGCAGAUGGUCUGCAAUGCUGACUGUGUGAUCAGCAAUGUUGUGGCAAAAUGGCCUGGCUCAGUCCAUGACUCCAGAAUCUUUCGGGCCUCUGAAAUCUAUCAGUGCCUAUCACAAGGUGAAUUCUCUGGUGUGUUGCUGGGAGACAGGGGUAUGGCUGCCAGCCUUUUCUCCUGACACCUUUCACAGACCCCCAGGAAGCACAGCAGGCCUACAACCAUGCCCAUGCCAGGACCAGGGCCAGAGUUGAAAUGACCUUUGGCCUCCUGAAGGCACGCUUUCACUGCCUUCACAAAUUAAGGGUCAGCCCUGUUAGGGCAUGUGAUAUUACUGUGGCUUGUGCUGUCCUCCACAAUGUGGCCUGCCUGAGGAAGGAGAGGGCCCCCAGAGUGCCACCAGCCAUGGACUGGGACAAUCCGGCAAUCUUCACUGAUGACGACAGUGGUCGGCUGCUGAGGGACCAAUAUGUGUUGAAUUAUUUUAGUUAGUAUGUGUGCUUUCAAUUUUGGUUAAAUAUGUCCUGCGGUGGCAGAGGAAUUUGGGUUUUUUUGGGUUCGUUUUUUGACGAAUUUGGCCUCUUAUGAUGUUUGUGCGGUAUACUGUGUGUAAUACAAGGCUGCAGGGAGGCUACUGCAUCCAUUCAUUUGUCUGUUCAGUUGAUGUGUAUGGAUUUGUCCUGCAUUUAUUUUAGUGUGCAGACAUGCAGGGUGUGUUAUAUACAGACCUUUGAAUGUGUAUGUAUCAUUUUGUAUAAUAUGCUUGGAUUCUGUGCUUUCCAUCUUGUAGAGUCACUGUGACUUCAGUUUCGAAAGGAGCUGAUGGUUUACCUGCUUUGUUUUGUCCUUAUUCAAUAAAGGAACAUAAUGUUA
Oncorhynchus masou masou (cherry salmon) is the source of this 1827-nucleotide long non-coding RNA. RefSeq lists it as uncharacterized. The transcript is spliced from 5 exons. The record is from RefSeq and is a predicted model, not a curated record. NCBI's taxonomy places the organism in Eukaryota, Metazoa, Chordata, Actinopteri, Salmoniformes, Salmonidae.